This 436-nucleotide ribosomal RNA is filed under the name uncultured bacterium. Its description in RNAcentral is "partial 16S ribosomal RNA". It matches the Rfam family "Bacterial small subunit ribosomal RNA", at positions 28 to 506 of the family's 1533-position model. The record is from RNAcentral.
GAUGAACGCUGGCGGCAUGCUUUACACAUGCAAGUCGGACGGGAAGGGGUGUUUCCAGUGGCGGACGGGUGAGGAACGCGUAAGAACCUGCCCUUGGGAGGGGAACAACAGCUGGAAACGGCUGCUAAUACCCCGUAGGCAGAGGAGCGAAAGGAGGAAUCCGCCCAAGGAGGGGCUCGGGACUGACUAGUUAGUGGGUGAGGCAAUAGCUUACCAAGGCCGUGGUAAGGAGCUGGUCAGAGCGGACGAUCAGCCAGAGUCGGACUGAGAGCAGACACUGAUACCGGCGGCAGGCGGGGGUGAUGAAGCUUACUGAACGGGCGAAAGCCUCAGGGAGGAAGGGUGCGUGAUGGUAAACGGCCUGCGGGAAAUGAACUUCGUUUGCUGCAGAAGAAGAGAGGAGGGUAUGGGUGGAAUAGGCAUCGGUUAACUCGGU